This 5107-nucleotide long non-coding RNA is filed under the name Sorghum bicolor (sorghum). RNAcentral describes it as "long non-coding RNA (SBIC_LNC005353)". The record is from RNAcentral. Lineage: Eukaryota; Viridiplantae; Streptophyta; Magnoliopsida; Poales; Poaceae.
UCUCUUAGUUAUUUGUCUAUAGGAAUAGUACCAUAUUGUCUAGGCACAAGAGGUGUUAGUCCUAUGUACCUUUUAUAUUCAGCCCAUGGGGCACAAUGGAAAUCAAGCAAUGAAUUAUGAAGAAACAAUUCUAGUCUCCCUCAAUCUCUCAAGCUCUUGGCAAAGCAUAAGGCCUAGUUAUCCCAAAGCUCUUGGCAAAGCAUAAGGCCUAGUUAUCUAUCUCCCAAAUAUCCACCGCGUUCAUAACACCUGGUAUCUAGAGAGUCCAGCGAUCCUCCUCCAUCAGCUAGAUCCUCCAUCAGCCGAAUCCUCCAGCACUUCCGAUCCUCCAUCAGCCGUUUCCAAAAAAAAAAAGAUACUGAUCCAGAUCAUCGCGUCGCCUACCUCAUCCAUCGUACCGCGCCGCCACAGCAACGCCACCAGCCGCCGCCGCACCCCCAUCACCACAGCCGCUGCGCCGUAGCCCCAUCACCACCAUCCACCGCCGCCACAAUCAUCGAUCCAGAUCCACCACAACACACCGCCGCUGCCACGCUUUGCCUCGAUGAACUUCCCUAAAUUUGCGGGGAAAUCUGAUCCUGUGGGCUUCGUCAACCAGUGCGACUCCUACUUCCGCCGAGAGCGCAUCAUGGAGGAAGAAAAGGUAUGGCUGGUUUCCCGUAAUUUGGAAGAUGACGCCCGGGUUUGGUUCCUACAAGUCCAGCAUGCUGAAGGCACCCCGGCGUGGCGUCGCUUCACCGAGCUCCUGCACCUGCGCUUCACAUCGCCCCCGUGCCCCGACCUGCUCCACCAUGUGUCUCCUGCUGCCAACGACACUUCCCGCAUCUUUGCUGAUAUAUUCACGCGGCUGGAUCGGAUCAAGGAGUUGCUCAACGCGAAGGAUAAGAAGGACCGUGAAUGCCAGGCGGCUGUACGUCUCCAGGCAGCAGCACGAAGACUCCUGGCUCGUCGCCGAGCACAGGCUCUUCGUGCCACAAAAGCAUCGAAGGAGCAAGCAACGGUGCGCCUCCAGGCAAUAGUGCGAGGAAUGCUUGUCCGUCGCAUGGUGCGGCAGAUACGCGUGCUCCUCAGCUCGACGUUGUCGUACGUGUUCAUCCACUCGGACUCGCCGAUACGGCCUGCGGCUCCAAUUGCAGUGGAGGUCCAAGUAUGGGCGUUUCUAGUGCAGCGACCUCGCAUCCAGCAUCAGGCAUCAAAGGCUAUCUCAUUUAUCCUUGUGCCUGCCGUGGUGCUAGACACUUUCAGCAUAAGGGCCAGCUGCUUCACACUCCACACUUCAGCCUACAUGAAGCCAGCAGAGGCGCUCUUUCCAUGGGAUCCAGUUGGAUAUCUUUGUAUUUUAGUCUUCAAUAAAAAGGGGAAGCCGAGAUGUAAAAGGCUAACCCUAUUUCGCUUCAGCUCUCCAGCUCGAGGACGAGCUGGGUCUCCAAGGGCGGGGGAGAUGUCAUGGGCAUAAAGAGGGGCGCCGUAGGGCGCAAGUGUCCUAGUUGGGCCUUAAGCCCAUUAGUGUUAAUUAGUGUCUCUCUUAGUUAUUUGUCUAUAGGAAUAGUACCAUAUUGUCUAGGCACAAGAGGUGUUAGUCCUAUGUACCCAUACCUGGGCAACGGGCCGGCCCGGCCCGGCACGGCACGACAACGGGCCGGCACGACACGUUCCUUAACGGGCUGAAGGGGCACGUCGUGCCCUGCGGGCCGUGCCUUACCGGCCUGCGUGCCUGACCUUCGGCCCAGGCACGGCACGGCGGGCCUUUUUACGUGCCCGUCAGGCACGGUAAAAAUAGAGGGCCGGGCCAGCCCAUAGCCCGUUGAACAGAUAACAUCUCAAUAAAUACAUAUUUAAAAUCAGAUUUCAAACAUAUUCAUAUUCAUCAAUCAUCAGUUAGAUACUUAGAUAACAGAUUCAAACACAGAUGAGAGUUGACAGAUGUAAAUAUCAAAAUGAGUUGUUUGGUGCAAUGCUGCCUCAUUAAAAACCUACCUAGGUAAAACUCACCCUUGUGAGAAACCCUAGGCAGGGAAAAAGAGUGCAGCCAGCUCUAAAUGUCUUAAGUCUUACUGUCUUAACAAUAUUACAGAUCAUUGUUCAAAAUGUUCAAAUGAAAACUAAGUGAGGGACACUACCACUCUCAACUCACACAAAAGCACCAACACUCCCAGCAAACAAAUGACCACCCCUCAGCCACCAGUACCCUCAUCUGCAACUUCAGAUUCAUCCAGGAACAAAUUCUCAAAGGCAUCUUCAAUUUCCUUGUUAUCAGUAGCUUGAUGUUGCUCCCUCUUUUCUCCUAGCUCCCAGUCCUUCAACAAGGUUAGCAUCUCCACAUGUUCGGGUUUCAAGCUUCGGCGUCGUUCUUCUAGGAUCCUUCCAGAUAAACUGAAACAAGACUCUGAAGAACAGGUGGAAACAGGAACUGACAUGAUAUCUCUGGCCAUAAUAGCCAGGAUGGGAUAGGUUAGUUUGUGAUCACGCCACCAUAGGAUAAUGUCAAAACCAUCCUCAUAAGAAGUUAUGCAGUCGCUGUCCAAAUAGCUUGCAAGUUCAGAAGCAGUAGAUUGAGAAGAAGAACUGGCAGUUGAAGGACCAGGUAGAUCUGAUCCUCCAAAAAUUCUCCCCCAAGCUUGUUUUCUCUUACCAGUGACUGGGGUAGGACCAGCAACUCUUUGAUUCCUAGAUGCACCAUACUUUCUCAAAUAUUUCUUAAACAAUUUAUGCAACUCAGUUUUCACAUCAGCAUAGUAAGCAGUGUAAUCAGUACCACUACAUUCAUGAAGUAAAUGGAGGACCCUUUGCAUACCUCUGAGCUUAGCUCUAGGGUCAAGAAUGAAUGCAAAUAAAUAUAACAUAGGAAUGUCCUUCCAAUACUUAAGAAACUUACUUUGCAUAGGAAACACAAAGGCUCUCAGAUUAAGAUCUCUUUCACAAGCAUGUAAAUGAGUUGCAAUCUCCAGAACAUGGUGCAGAACAAGAGGACUGGUAGGAUAAUAAACACCAGAUAGUGUAACAGUACAGUCAUAAAAGAGUUCCAGGAACUCCAAUAUUUUCUUAGCCACAUGCCAAUGAGCUUGAGACAACAGGGCACUACCAUAAUUUGAAUUUAUGAACACAGAAAAUACUUCACGAUAAGGAACCAAAUGUUUAAGCAUGAGAUAAGUUUAGCAAGGCAACCUUUAGCGUGCCUAAGAAUAUGACCAGUACCAGCAGCAGAUCUACCACUCAAAACUUUUUUACAAAUCUUCCAGAUAGCUUUAACACGCACACGAUUACCAUUUGUCAUCUCAAAAACCUCAUCAAAUGUUUCCCAACACUUAGACCGUCGCUUACCACAUGUACCAGAGGAAGGAGUAGCAUUACCAUCACCAUUACCAUUAACACCAGUGCUCAUGGUGUGGGUGUUGGAGUCCACCGCAUCGACGGGAUCGACGUCGUUCACGGGAGGCUGUGACCCGCCGCCACCGGAUGCGUCGACAAACACAUCAAAGGGGUCACGGCCGUCAUCGUCCCUCUCCGGGGACAGCCCAGCAGUGAUGAAGUCGUCAUUCCCUGUCCACUCGUCGCACGUCGUCGCCAAGGGGCCCUCGGCCGCGGACGGCUGUACUCCUCCUCCUCCAGCACCAUUCCUCAACGGUGCGUGGCCACGACUUGGCCGCGGUGCCAUUGCCUUAGCCCGUCGUCUGUCUACGCCACCAAGGCUAGUUGACGACGAGGCAUCGGCAACAGACCUGCAAAAAGAACAGAUCUAGGGUUAGAUUAGAAUGGGGGAAAAGAAAAAUGACGAAGAAGACGAGAUCUAGGGUUAGAUCUUACCUACGCAACCGGAGCCCGGUGCCGGAGAAGACGAGGUUAAGAAGGACGACGAGCGACUACGGAACGGAGACGGGGAGGCGGACUCACAUGCUCAUGGACAGGAUAGAGGAAGAUGGGAGACAGAUAGGGAGAGGGAGGCAGGGAGCAGGGAACUCAGGGAGAGAGGCAGAGAGCCGACGGCGACGGGCCGACGGCGAUGUCACCAGAUCGAAGGACGACGGCGGCGAAGGAGUCAAGAGGAGGAGCCGAGGAGGCGAGCUGACCGAGCUCUGAGCUCACAGCUCCGAUCCGAGACUGAGAGCGAGAUGCCGAGGUGCGACUGGCCGACUCCGAGUCUCCGACUGCGAGAGCGAGUGGGCGACGGCGGCUGCGGGUGGGGAAUAGGGUUAGGGUUUGGUGAGGGCGAGGGACGCGCGGGGGGGAGGGGAAUUUAUAUGGGGAUGCGGGGAGCCGGGGGCCGGGGGGAGGGGAGGUGGGCUGGCGCUGGCUGCUGGCCUGCUGCCUGCUGGGCCGCUGGGGAUACGGACCGGUACCGGACCUGGCUUUAAUUGGCGGGCCGUGCCGUGCCGGCCUGUGGGCCUAGAGUGCGGCCCAAGCACGGCCUGCACCAUAGUGUCGUGCCAGCCCGGGCCCAAUGAACUUCGGGCCGGGCCGGGCUAGGGCCGGGCCAAAAGAACGGGCUUCGGGCCGUGCUAACAGGCUCGGGCUGCAUGCCCAGGUAUAUAUGUACCUUUUAUAUUCAGCCCAUGGGGCACAAUGGAAAUCAAGCAAUGAAUUAUGAAGAAACAAUUCUAGUCUCCCUCAAUCUCUCAAGCUCUUGGCAAAGCAUAAGGCCUAGUUAUCCCAAAGCUCUUGGCAAAGCAUAAGGCCUAGUUAUCUAUCUCCCAAAUAUCCACCGCGUUCAUAACAUAUGUGGUGAAGGAUUUAUUUUGUUUAAACAUGUGAACUUUGUGGAUUGUGGUUAUUGAACAUGUUGGAGUUAGUUUGGAUGUAUGUGAACUUAGUUUGGAGUAUUUGAACUUGUUACGAUGGACAAAGUGAUGGAAAUAAUCAUUUAUGUGGUAUACAUUGUCAUCGAUGUCGAUUAUGUGAGCUAUAGGCUCUUGGAUGUGAAAUAUAUGAUUUUCUGGAAAUAUAUAUGUCAUAUGAUCAUCUCAGUGGAAAUUGGAUGAAAAAAUAGAAAAAAAAAAUAUUUUGGUCGAUUUGUCGAGAGGGGCUCUCGGCAAAGCUGAAAAAGUGAUCGAUUUGCCGAGAGGGGCUCUCGGCAAAGCUGAAAAUGGUCGAUUUGCCGAGAGCAAGGGCC